CCUUUUCUUGAGACCCAGAGCUCAUUGCUUGUCAGCUCUUUGUUCCUUAUCCACCACCCCUCAAGCUGAGGAACAGACACAGUGUGGGAUGUGAGGGUUGGGAGUGGGCAAAGUGAUAAUGAGUUUGAUUUUGAGAAUGUUGCCAUUGAGGCAGCUGGCACAUCCAGCUAGAGGAUAGUUCUGGAGUUAUCGGGAGAGAUCUGAACUAUUGAUCAAUGAAUGUGGGAAUCUUAUACAUAUUCGUAGUAUAUUUGUUAGGAAUUACAUUUAGUUACUAGAAGAAACUUUCUUGUCAAAGACCAGAAGGAACGGUGGCUUAAACCAGAUGGAAAUGUAUUGUGCUUCACAUUAGUGGGCUGGUGCGUUGGUAUCAUGGUAUUUUUCAGGGACCAAGGAACCGAUCUAUCUUUCUGCCUCACCAUUUUAGUAUGUAUCCUCCACCUUGGAUUUGUCUUAUAAUUGAAUAUCGCUGCUAGAGCACCAGGCAUCAUCUUUGCAUUCCAGACAGAAAGCAGGAAAAAAAGGUGGAAGGUUUUUUAAAAAAGAAAAGUGCUUAUGCCUACAGCUGUCUACCUUCUUUUUAAGUCCUACCUGAUAACUUCUAUGUACACAUUGUAAGGGAAAUGGCUGCACUUUAGUCAGGAAUAGGCUGAGGCAGCCUUCUGGCACAGCAUGAUUCACUGGGUUUGGAGCACAGGUGCACUCUCAAAACACUCUCAUAAAAAACACCUGGGGCUUCCUGCGAGCUGGCCUGGGCUUUCGUUACUGCCUCCCCUGCUCAUGAUGGGUAUUUACAUAUCCUUAGACCCUCAGCUAGAACAAGCUGCACCUGAGAUCAGUCUCCAGUGGCGUUUUGGUCCGGGAAAGGCCCUGACCUGUGGCCACACAUUAUGUAACCAUGCCACGUGAAGUGCAUUAGGUGAUCACUCACAUGAGUCUGUGCCUGGCUUAGAGACACUGUUGUCUACAAAAGGUAUAAUUACCCUGCUAGCGGCUAUACAUAGGGCUUGUGCCCAGAAAGAGGAUAAAGCCAUAUCAAAACUCCCUACGAUUCCUGUAGUGUUUUUCCAGCUACUCCCCCACCGACUCCCCUCGGACCUCAGUUUGGGAUAGAACCUGACAAUUGGUGUCAUGAACAGGAUCCUGAGAUUUAGAAGCAGUGGCGUCCCUCUUGCGGCAACAUUUAGCAGCAUGUGGUUGGGCCGUCAACGAAUCCAAGGUCCAAGGUCCUGGAUUAUCUGCCAGAUUCUUGGGAGUUAUCUGGUCAGAACUGACCCAGAACUAUACUGGAAAGAGAUUCUUGGAAAAGAAGUUCCAGAUGAUUGCCCUAAGUAGACGGAGUGAGGAUGCUGCUGAGUUGAUCAGAGACAAUCCUGCACAUGGACCUAUCUUCAUUCAUUCAACGGGUAGUUAAGGGAGACUUACUAUACACCAGACUCUGCACUUGUGCCAAUCUUAUUUCUCUAAGACUUUUGAGUACAGUUGUGUAUCUUCUAAUUUUUUUCUAUAUUCCAUAGUGCGUGGCACAAUUCUGGGCACACAGCAGAUAGAUGCACACUGAUUGCCCAUUGGCUUAGCUGACCUCAAACAUAGCUAGUCUGCCAUUUUCAAUGGAAGAGUGUAAAAUGAGAAAUAUAAUUUACAUAUCUCUUUCUAUACAUAGUAAUUUAUGUAUAUAUGCUGAGUAGAGCUUAGUAUUACACAGGUAUAAUAAGCUAAUUAAAGACAAUUUGAAAAAGCUAGUUAAAAUUUUAAAAUCACUUUUAAUUUAUCAUUAUUUACCAAAACAGCCU
RNAcentral lists this long non-coding RNA (1793 nucleotides) under Homo sapiens (human). RNAcentral's name for it is "HSALNT0364270". The record is from RNAcentral. Lineage: Eukaryota; Metazoa; Chordata; Mammalia; Primates; Hominidae.